GGAUGUGAGGGCGAUCUGGCUGCGACAUCUGUCACCCCAUUGAUCGCCAGGGUUGAUUCGGCUGAUCUGGCUGGCUAGGCGGGUGUCUCCUUCCUCCCUCACCGCUCCAUGUGCGCCCCUCCCGAAGCUGCGCGCUCCAAGAGGACGACCUUCCCGGAUAGAGGAGAGCAUCAUUCUUCUGUCAAGGGUAUACGAGUGGCUGUGCUCCCCUGCCAGAACCUCUAAACAAGCUCUCAAGGUUCCUUUGUAGGAGAACGUAGGGUGGUCAAGCUUCCAAGACUCCAGACACAUCCAAAUGAGGCACUGCACAUGGCAGUCUGCCUUU
This 325-nucleotide small nuclear RNA is filed under the name Neogale vison (American mink). RNAcentral describes it as "Neovison vison (American mink) 7SK RNA (ENSNVIG00000019002.1)". It matches the Rfam family "7SK RNA". Rfam says of the family: 7SK was discovered as an abundant small nuclear RNA in the mid-70s but a possible function has only recently been suggested. Two independent studies have found that 7SK RNA binds the CDK9/cyclin T complex (known as elongation factor P-TEFb). The record is from RNAcentral. Lineage: Eukaryota; Metazoa; Chordata; Mammalia; Carnivora; Mustelidae.